This 460-nucleotide ribosomal RNA is filed under the name uncultured bacterium. Its description in RNAcentral is "partial 16S ribosomal RNA". It matches the Rfam family "Bacterial small subunit ribosomal RNA", at positions 338 to 795 of the family's 1533-position model. The record is from RNAcentral.
CCUACGGGUGGCAGCAGUGAGGAAUAUUGGUCAAUGGGCGGAAGCCUGAACCAGCCAAGUAGCGUGCAGGAUGACGGCCCUACGGGUUGUAAACUGCUUUUAUACGGGAAUAACGCGCCUUACGUGUAGGGCUUUGCAUGUACCGGAUGAAUAAGGACCGGCUAAUUCCGUGCCAGCAGCCGCGGUAAUACGGAAGGUCCGGGCGUUAUCCGGAUUUAUUGGGUUUAAAGGGAGCGUAGGCCGCAGGGCAAGCGUGCCGUGAAAUGUCCGGGCUCAACCCGGGCCUUGCAGCGCGAACUGGCGAGCUUGAGUCCGCGGAAAGCAGGCGGAAUUCGUGGUGUAGCGGUGAAAUGCUUAGAUAUGACGAAGAACCCCGAUUGCGAAGGCAGCUUGCUGCAGCGGAACUGACGCUGAUGCUCGAAAGCGCGGGUAUCGAACAGGAUUAGAUAUCCUUGUAGUC